UUUUUAUAGUGCUCGACUUGCACUUUUACAUUUGUAACUUCAGUAGUUAGUGUAAUAACUUGUUCUUGUAAUAACUCCAUUUGUUUAAACAUUUGGAGCAAUAAAUCAGUCUGGGUAUCUUUGACAUCAGCCUCUUCCAUUGGUAAAUCAGUUUGAGUAGCUUUGUCUUGAUAAGUAAUCUGCAAUGAUAUUUUUGUUAGUAUUGAUUACUUCAAUUGUAAAUGUAAAAUUCAGUAUAUUUAAUACUAGUCUACGAAUUUCCUUUGUCG
RNAcentral lists this long non-coding RNA (269 nucleotides) under Capsicum annuum. RNAcentral describes it as "long non-coding RNA (CANN_LNC017947)". Lineage: Eukaryota; Viridiplantae; Streptophyta; Magnoliopsida; Solanales; Solanaceae. The record is from RNAcentral.